CCUACGGGAGGCAGCAGUGGGGAAUAUUGCUCAAUGGGCGAAAGCCUGAUCCAGCGACGUCGCGUGAGUGAAGACGUACCUCGGUAUUUAAAGCUCUAUCAGCAGGGAAGAAAAUGACGGUACCUGAUUAAGAAGCCCCGGCUAACUACGUGCCAGCAGCCGCGGGACUACGUAGGGGGCAAGCGUAAUCCGGAUUUACUGGGUGUAAAGGGAGCGUAGACGGGAGGACAAGUCUGGAGUGAAAUGCCGGGGCUUAACCCCGGAACUGCUAUGGAAACUGUGCAGCUAGAGUGCAGGAGAGGUAAGUGGAAUUCGUGGUGUAGCGGUGAAAUGCGUAGAUAUUAGGAAGAACACCAGUGGCGAAGGCGGCUUACUGGCCUGUAACUGACGUUGAGGCUCGAAAGCGUGGGGAGCAAACAGGAUUAGAUACCCUUGUAGUC
Molecule: ribosomal RNA, 440 nt
Filed under: uncultured bacterium
Lineage: Bacteria
Description: partial 16S ribosomal RNA
Rfam family: Bacterial small subunit ribosomal RNA
Source: RNAcentral